RNAcentral lists this ribosomal RNA (253 nucleotides) under uncultured bacterium. Its description in RNAcentral is "partial 16S ribosomal RNA". It matches the Rfam family "Bacterial small subunit ribosomal RNA", at positions 524 to 776 of the family's 1533-position model. The record is from RNAcentral.
UACGGAGGGUGCAAGCGUUAUCCGGAUUCACUGGGUUUAAAGGGUGCGUAGGCGGAUUUGUAAGUCCGUGGUGAAAUCUCCGAGCUUAACUCGGAAACUGCCAUGGAUACUAUAGGUCUUGAAUGUUGUGGAGGUCAGCGGAAUAUGUCAUGUAGCGGUGAAAUGCUUAGAUAUGACAUAGAACACCUAUUGCGAAGGCAGCUGGCUACGCAAAUAUUGACGCUGAGGCACGAAAGCGUGGGGAUCAAACAGG